GGUCUCAGUCCCAGAGGUGUGUGGUCUCAGUCCCAGAGGUGUGUGGUCUCAGUCCCAGAGGUGUGUGGUCUCAGCCCCAGAGGUGUGUGGUCUCAGUCCCAGAGGUGUGUGGUCUCAGUCCCAGAGGUGUGUGGUCUCAGCCCCAGAGGUGUGUGGUCUCAGCCCCAGAGGUGUGUGGUCUCAGCCCCAGAGGUGUGUGGUCUCAGCCCCAGAGGUGUGUGGUCUCAGUCCCAGAGGUGUGUGGUCUCAGUCCCAGAGGUGUGUGGUCUCAGUCCCAGAGGUGUGUGGUCUCAGUCCCAGAGGUGUGUGUGGUCUCCUCCAGUGUGUGUUGAAAGCGUGUAAAUAGUAACUGCUGAAACGUGGA
This is a non-coding RNA of Salmo salar (Atlantic salmon), 364 nucleotides long. The record is from RefSeq and is a predicted model, not a curated record. Lineage: Eukaryota; Metazoa; Chordata; Actinopteri; Salmoniformes; Salmonidae.